UGGAAACUCUGAGUUUGUUAACCCGAAAUGAGGAAAACUCAGAGUUUCGGUUUCAGAAAGCGGGGUUACUUAAACCCGUAAAGCGGGGUAAGUUUAAGCCCGUUUCAAGAAGCGAGGUAACCGAAACUCAGAGUCAGUUACUAUGGCAACUGACUCUGUGAACCAAACCUGGUCGCGAGCAGGUUUUAUUCGGGAAACCCAGAGUUUCCUUCGGUCUCCGCCCCUUUUUAAAGUGAACAGUGUUUAAAUACCUCGUUUAAUCUUUCAGUGCAUUCAUAGAUUUCACCUGUUUCCUUCGCGCAGAGACCAAAAUGUCCGUUUCUAGAGGAUCCUGUAGAUGAGGACGCUGUAUUAAUUCACACGACGUUGAAUUCACGCCGCGAGAGGAUUUUGACGCCACGAGUUAAUUUUCUGUCAUAUCGCAGUGCAUAUUUAUUUGAGCGGUACCGAUUUUCUCGAGACUCCAUACAUAUAUUUAUAAUCUUAUUCACCCAUUCAUCAAACACAUCACCCAUCGUGGCCGCGCUUUUACAUCCGAACAGAUUCUUUGUGUUGCGUUACGUUUUUUUUGCAAACGGUAGUUUUCUUUAUAACAUUGGAGAUGCUGAGCACAUUAGUGAAGCCACUGUUUGUAGAAAAGUUCGACCUCAAGCGCUUUCCUUGACACAAACUCCUUAAAGCCAUUAAAGAGGAGUUUCACAGUAUUGCAGGAGAGAUUGACGGCUUUCUGCUGGAGAUAGGGGUUAAUGCCAGCUCACACUACUGACCCCUCACCCAGAACCUGAAGCAGAACCCCAGCAGCGCUUUAAUGUGGCCCUGCAGAACAAGAGCCCGGGUGGAAAUGACCAUAGGCCUGUUGAAAGCACGUCUUCAGUGCCUACGUCACCUCAGGGAAACACCUGAGAGGCCUGUGACAUUAAUGUGGCAUGUGUUGUUCUCCACAUUAUUGCAAUUAUUAGAGAGGAGCAACACCCUGCAAAUACAAGACCCUGAGGAGACUCCUUCCAUCACAGUAAUC
Molecule: long non-coding RNA, 1018 nt
Organism: Betta splendens (Siamese fighting fish)
Lineage: Eukaryota; Metazoa; Chordata; Actinopteri; Anabantiformes; Osphronemidae
Exons: 3
Source: RefSeq, a predicted model, not a curated record